GCAGCAGUAGGAAUUUUUCACAAUGGGCGCAAGCCUUAUGAAGCAAUGCCGCGUGAACGAUAAGGUCUUAUAGAUUGUAAAGUUCUUUUAUAUGGGAAGAAACGCUAAAAUAGGAAAUGAUUUUAGUUUGACUGUACCAUUUGAAUAAGUAUCGGCUAACUAUGUGCCAGCAGCCGCGGUAAUACAUAGGAUGCAAGCGUUAUCCGGAUUUACUGGGCGUAAAACGAGCGCAGGCGGGUUUGUAAGUUUGGUAUUAAAUCUAGAUGCUUAACGUCUAGCUGUAUCAAAAACUGUAAACCUAGAGUGUAGUAGGGAGUUGGGGAACUCCAUGUGGAGCGGUAAAAUGCGUAGAUAUAUGGAAGAACACCGGUGGCGAAGGCGCCAACUUGGACUAUCACUGACGCUUAGGCUCGAAAGUGUGGGGAGCAAAUAGGAUUAGAUACCCUAGUAGUCCACACCGUAAACGAUCAUCAUUAAAUGUCGGCCCGAAUGGGUCGGUGUUGUAGCUAACGCAUUAAAUGAUGUGCCUGGGUAGCACAUUCGCAAGAAUGUAACCCCAACGGAAUCGSCGGGGACCCGCCCAGCCUC
This 588-nucleotide ribosomal RNA is filed under the name uncultured bacterium. RNAcentral's name for it is "bacterial SSU rRNA". It matches the Rfam family "Bacterial small subunit ribosomal RNA", at positions 348 to 932 of the family's 1533-position model. The record is from RNAcentral.